RNAcentral lists this long non-coding RNA (232 nucleotides) under Homo sapiens (human). RNAcentral's name for it is "non-protein coding lnc-ANGPT2-2:14". Lineage: Eukaryota; Metazoa; Chordata; Mammalia; Primates; Hominidae. The record is from RNAcentral.
AGUGAGCCCCAGAUCCAGGGACUAAGGCAGCAGGGGUGAAAGCAGUGACUUAGAAGCUACCCGGCGCCUCAUCUGGGCUCACCUGAGCUGAGGAUCAGGAAGGGGAGGGGGCACAGUCAUUCCCUCGCGGACGCGGCGGGACCCCAGCGGACGGCUUUGUGCGGACUUUCGGCACCGUUAUGCCCCCCUAGCCCGACACCACCUGGGGCUGGCGCGCCACGUUACUGUUCAG